ACUAGAGGGGUCACACAGAGCAUCCAGGACUCCUCCAUGGUGCCCAAGUGGACAUGUGAGACGAAGGUCUCCUUGGAUGCCUCAUCACUGUGACAACCCAUUCCCACCUACAGGCUCUCAGAUGACGGGCAGAUUCUGCAUCUAUCACCGUUGGACUCAACGAAGAUGAGGCUGAGUCACAGGAAAUGGAGAAAGAAAGUUCUGCUUCUUACACAUUUGAAUUUAAGGAUGGAGAUUCGCGCUUCCUACAAGUCCAUGCAAAGGGUGGGCGCCAUGUGCGGGCCAUGGCAGGCUCUGGGGCUGCGUCCCAUGUAGGUGGGAUGCUGAGAUGGGAAUGGGACUCUCCACCGCUCCCCUGUGCACUCUCUGCAGUUCCCCUGGCCCUUGGAGUUCCCUGCACCACCAGCCCUGUCCUGUUGUCCUCCUGCCCUCUACCCACGAGCUCUUUGUGGCUUAUUCUCAUAGGACCCAGAGGUGCUGGGCUGAGCCUGGCUUAGCAGAACACCUGGCGGAUGAUCAGAUUGUUCUAUGGGCUCAGUGCCCCUGGGGUCGUGCUUUGGGGUCUAUAUUUUGCAUCUGGCGAGGGGUAUCUCCCUCUGCUUUCUGAUCACCACGUGAGCUGCUUCCCUCUGCCACACACUCUGCCAUGAUGUUCAGCCUGACCUCGAGCCCCAAGGAAUGGAGGCUGCUGUCUAUGGACUGAGACCUCUGAAACUGUGAGCCCUCAAAUAAACC
This 735-nucleotide long non-coding RNA is filed under the name Marmota monax (woodchuck). Lineage: Eukaryota; Metazoa; Chordata; Mammalia; Rodentia; Sciuridae. The record is from RNAcentral.